This 253-nucleotide ribosomal RNA is filed under the name uncultured bacterium. Its description in RNAcentral is "partial 16S ribosomal RNA". It matches the Rfam family "Bacterial small subunit ribosomal RNA", at positions 524 to 776 of the family's 1533-position model. The record is from RNAcentral.
UACGUAGGGUGCGAGCGUUAAUCGGAAUUACUGGGCGUAAAGCGUGCGCAGGCGGUUCGUGAUGUCUGGUGUGAAAGCCCCGGGCUUAACCUGGGAAUGGCAUUUGGGACUGCAAGGCUGGAGUUUGGCAGAGGAGACUGGAAUUCCCGGUGUAGAGGUGAAAUUCGUAGAUAUCGGGAGGAACACCAGUGGCGAAGGCGGCUUUCUGGACAUUUACUGACGCUGAGACGCGAAAGCGUGGGGAGCAAACAGG